CAGCACGGGUGCUUGCACCUGGUGGCGAGUGGCGAACCCGUGAGUAAUACAUCGGAACAUGUCCUGUAGUGGGGGAUAGCCCGGCGAAAGCCGGAUUAAUACCGCAUACGAUCUACGGAUGAAAGCGGGGGACCUUCGGGCCUCGCGCUAUAGGGUUGGCCGAUGGCUAAUUAGCUAGUUGGUGGGGUAAAGGCCUACCAAGGCGACGAUCAGUAGCUGGUCUGAGAGGACGACCAGCCACACUGGGACUGAGACACGGCCCAGACUCCUACGGGAGGCAGCAGUGGGGAAUUUUGGACAAUGGGCGAAAGCCUGAUCCAGCAAUGCCGCGUGUGUGAAGAAGGCCUUCGGGUUGUAAAGCACUUUUGUCCGGAAAGAAAUCCUUGGCUCUAAUACAGUCGGGGGAUGACGGUACCGGAAGAAUAAGCACCGGCUAACUACGUGCCAGCAGCCGCGGUAAUACGUAGGGUGCGAGCGUUAAUCGGAAUUACUGGGCGUAAAGGGUGCGCAGGCGGUUUGCUAAGACCGAUGUGAAAUCCCCGGGCUCAACCUGGGAACUGCAUUGGUGACUGGCAGGCUAGAGUAUGGCAGAGGGGGGUAGAAUUCCACGUGUAGCAGUGAAAUGUGAAAGAUGUGGAGGAAUACCGAUGGCGAAGGCAGCCCCCUGGGCCAAUACUGA
Molecule: ribosomal RNA, 679 nt
Filed under: uncultured bacterium
Lineage: Bacteria
Description: bacterial SSU rRNA
Rfam family: Bacterial small subunit ribosomal RNA
Source: RNAcentral